Molecule: small nucleolar RNA, 135 nt
Filed under: Nannospalax galili (Upper Galilee mountains blind mole rat)
Lineage: Eukaryota; Metazoa; Chordata; Mammalia; Rodentia; Spalacidae
Description: Small nucleolar RNA SNORA70 (ENSNGAG00000002604.1)
Rfam family: Small nucleolar RNA SNORA70
About the family: snoRNA U70 seems to be exclusive to mammals and is a member of the H/ACA class of snoRNA which contain H (ANANNA) and ACA box motifs. H/ACA box snoRNAs are involved in the conversion of uridines to pseudouridines (5-ribosyluracil) a constituent of structural RNAs (transfer, ribosomal, small nuclear, and small nucleolar).
Source: Rfam by way of RNAcentral
CUGCAGCUAAUUAAGCCGAUCAGGUUCCUUUCCUCAUGGGGGUCUGGUGUGCAAUGGCUGCAAACAGCAACCUCCUUGGUAGUGAAUACAGCCUGUUGCAUGUAUGGGCUGCCCUAAGGGACCUUGGAGAGUUUU